GAUGAACGCUGGCGGCGUGCUUAACACAUGCAAGUCGAACGAUGAAGCCCAGCUUGCUGGGUGGAUUAGUGGCGAACGGGUGAGUAACACGUGAGUAACCUGCCCUUAACUCUGGGAUAAGCCUGGGAAACUGGGACUAAUACCGGAUAGGAGCGUCCACCGCAUGGUGGGUGCUGGAAAGAUUUAUCGGUUUUGGAUGGACUCGCGGCCUAUCAGCUUGUUGGUGAGGUAAUGGCUCACCAAGGCGACGACGGGUAGCCGGCCUGAGAGGGUGACCGGCCACACUGGGACUGAGGCACGGCCCAGACUCCAACAGGGGGCAGCAGUGGGGAAUAUUGCACAAUGGGCGCAAGCCUGAUGCAACGACGCCGCGUUUGGGAUGACGGCCUGCUGGUUGUAAACCUCUUUCAGUAGGGAAGAAGCGAAAGUGACGGUACCUGCAGAAGAAGCACCGGCUAACUACGUG
RNAcentral lists this ribosomal RNA (466 nucleotides) under uncultured bacterium. RNAcentral describes it as "partial 16S ribosomal RNA". It matches the Rfam family "Bacterial small subunit ribosomal RNA", at positions 28 to 507 of the family's 1533-position model. The record is from RNAcentral.